RNAcentral lists this transfer RNA (73 nucleotides) under compost metagenome. RNAcentral describes it as "tRNA-Thr". It matches the Rfam family "tRNA". Rfam says of the family: Transfer RNA (tRNA) molecules are approximately 80 nucleotides in length. Their secondary structure includes four short double-helical elements and three loops (D, anti-codon, and T loops). The record is from RNAcentral.
UGCCGAGUUAGUUAAAUGGUAUAACAGUGCACUCGUAAUGCACAAUUAGCAGUUCGAUUCUGCUACUCGGCAU